GUAACUUACAAGAUUAAAAUUAAAUUUGGUUGAUGAUGGUUCUGAACAAAUACAGCUCUUUAAUUUGAGGUAUGCCAUUUUGAAGACUGAGACCCAUGGAGUUUUAUCCUUGAAUAUAAAGGAAAUAGUUGCAAAAGCCUCUAUUUUAUAUAGCAAAAAUGUGAAUCCAGAGACUGAAUUCUCUGAAGGGCCUGUACACCAUAGUAGAUGUUGGUGGAAGCAUUUACACCCAGUCAGCUUGAAGAGUCUCAAAUGGACCCUACCACUGAGAAAACAAGAUGGCAGUCCACUAUGGGGAAUUGAGGAAAAUGGAUUAAUACAAGAGUGCUGUGAUAAUAUACAACCAAGACAGGGUUCUUUUAACAUGGAUUUCAUGAAAUGAAUGAAGACAUAGGUUUCUAACCCAGCACAAAUGGACAGUGGAUUUGACUUUCUAAAGACUUUUUGUAUCACUAAAACAAGUUCAUUUUUGACAUUUGGAGAAGAAAGAUGGCACAUUAACACAGAUGUUAGUUUGUAUGCCUGGAAGUUUUUGCAGUUUGUUUUGUAUGAGUAUGAUCUUGUGGAAUGUUAACUUUAAUAAAAUUUCUUAACAAUUUAAAAUUUCUCA
Molecule: long non-coding RNA, 610 nt
Filed under: Ursus maritimus (polar bear)
Lineage: Eukaryota; Metazoa; Chordata; Mammalia; Carnivora; Ursidae
Description: lncRNA (ENSUMAG00000000167.1)
Source: RNAcentral